Molecule: ribosomal RNA, 475 nt
Filed under: uncultured bacterium
Lineage: Bacteria
Description: SSU rRNA
Rfam family: Bacterial small subunit ribosomal RNA
Source: RNAcentral
AGAACGAACGCUGGCGGCAUGCCUAACACAUGCAAGUCGAACGCUUUUGGGGCUUCGGUCCCAAAGGAGUGGCGCACGGGUGAGUAGCGCGUGGGAACCUGCCCUGGAGUGGGGGAUAACCGAGGGAAACUUCGGCUAAUACCGCAUGCGCCCGGUUUACCUCGAAAGGGGGAAACCGGGGAAAGAUUUAUCGCUCUAGGAGGGGCCCGCGUCGGAUUAGCUUGUUGGUAGGGUAACGGCCUACCAAGCCUUUGAUCCGUAGCUGGUCUGAGAGGAUGAUCAGCCACACUGGGACUGAGACACGGCCCAGACUCCUACGGGAGGCAGCAGUGGAGAAUAUUGGACAAUGGGCGCAAGCCUGAUCCAGCAAUGCCGCGUGAGUGAUGAAGGCCUUAGGGUUGUAAAGCUCUUUCGCCCGCGACGAUGAUGACGGUAGCGGGGGAAGAAGCCCGGCUAACUUCGUGCCAGCAGCCGC